RNAcentral lists this long non-coding RNA (5496 nucleotides) under Homo sapiens (human). RNAcentral's name for it is "non-protein coding lnc-PDGFA-8:4". The record is from RNAcentral. Lineage: Eukaryota; Metazoa; Chordata; Mammalia; Primates; Hominidae.
CUCCUCCCCUCGGCCGCGCCCCGCGACGCCUCUGAGCUCCGGGCCCGCUAAGGAGAGGGCUCCUCCUGCCCGCGGUUUGCAGAGGGAAGCGGCGGAGACCGGGAGGGCGCGCUCGGUUCUGGCCAGGCCAGCAGCUGCGGCCGAGUGGGGGGCUCCGGCCUGGCCGCUUCCUGGGACCCCCUCCCGCCCGGGGCCGCCGCCGCCAGCUGCAGCCUCUCGGCUCCUCCCCAGAGGAGCGCGGGGCCGGGGCCCAGGCCAAGUCCCUCCCCGGAGCCGCGGGGCGUCUGCGCCGCCGGAUGAGCUCCCCGCCGGGCGGCGACCCCGUGCCCCACGCCCGUCUCGGCAAGGAGGAGGCGGAGGCGGCCCCGCGAGAGAGGCCCAAGGAGCGACUGGGCCUGGACCCAGGGGACGCCAGGGCAGCGGAGCUCCCGGCACCGGUCCCGUCCCCCCCCCCCCGCCCACCCGCGGGACGCGCCCGCCUUAACCCUCCAGGCGCCGGGCCCGCUGGGGGCGCUGAGAGGGGCUGGUGUGCCGGGGGCGCCUUCCUGCUUGGGGCCGACGGGGGUGUGUGAGUGCAGGCGUGUGCGUGUGUGUGCGCAUGUGUGUGUGUGGAUGUGCGUGUGCGUGUGUAUGCCUGUGUGUGUUUGUGUGUGCGUCUGUGUGCAUGUGUGUGUGCACAUGCAUGUGUGUUCACGUGAGUGCAUCUCAUCUGUCACCCACAACCAGGGGAGCGGUGCUUGUACAACCAGCUGGUGGCUUCUGCAACCAGCAGCUUCUGGCCGUGCAGCUCCCUGUAGGGAAUAUGAGUUAAUCUGGAUGUCAGCCUAAGAUGUAGUCAGGGAGGUAAGUGUGUGGGAGGAGGCCACAUCCCCUGUGCCUCAAGCCGGCUGCUUCCACAGUGCCCAGACUGCCUGGGCCAGCAGCCUCGCCAGCAAGCCCAGGCGGGUGGGCCGGGAGCAGGGCCUGGGCCCCCCCUCUUACUUUCACCGGCUGGCUGUGUUACCAGGGCCCUCUCCGCCCUCUCUGAGCCUCAGUUUCCUCUGAUGUGAAUUAAGGGCGUUGAGCCCAUUGUUCCUGAGGAAUCACUCAUCUCUGAGCCUGGCCCAUUGCCUGGCAUUCCGUGGGCACCCACUAGAUACUUAUAAGGGGAGAAGUUGUUCCAGUCCGGCUGGCCAGUGGAAUCCAUGCGUCUUGGGCCAUUUGAAGUGAGUGAAGGGCUGGGUGCGGCCCACCUGGAGCUGGACUGGAGGCUGUGUUGGGUGGGGCGGUGUGACCUGGAGGUGGGCUGCCCCCUCAGGAGACAGCUUCACCCCUGUGAGUGGACCUCAUCCUUCCUUCCUUCCACUCACAUGGACAGCACAUCUGUGUGUAGACAGGGUCACUGAGAGAGGCCAAGGAGGGUGAGGAGGAAGAUCCCGGGUGUGGGGGGAGUCCUGGGGGAGCAGACAGCAGGGACAGAAGCCUGUGGCAGGAAGGAAGGUCUUGGCCUGUGUUCUCCCAGCAAGGGUCCCCUUGGACUUGGAGUUCUAUAGGCUCCUGGCCCCCCCAUCUCUCCCGUGGUCUACAGGACCUCGACGCAGAGCUGUGGCUAGUGUCUUGGGGCAGACAUGGGGCUGAGCAGACCCCAUGGAACACUAUUAUCCGGUGUGGGGGGCCUCAUGGAGGUUCCCUGGGCACUUACUUUCACUUGCCUCCUGCCCCCAACUCCUCUCCCCUCCCAUCCUCACCCCCAGAGUGGUUUUUGGGAGCCCGGCAGCUAUCUGGACCCGUGUGCACCCCUGGACGCCUCCCUCCCUCGCAGAGGGUCCUGGUUCAUCUCGUCUGUUGCCUCUUAGAACAGUGGCCUCUACCUCGCCAGCACAAGCAGUCGAGUUAAGACAGGAGCCUCGUUCAAAGUUCCGCCCGGGGCCAGGCACAGCGCAGGCUCUCAGAGGAGGGCCCAGGAGUCCACAGGCUGCGGCGGCGCGAGACAAAAGUCGGAAGACAGGACCCCGCUGAGGAGUGAGGAGACAGCGGCCAACCCUCCGCCAGACCCUUCCGCCUGGUGCCUUUACUGGGCUCUGAGGAGGAAUUUGGUGGUUCAGUCGGCCCAUCCGUGGACACCAUAAAAACAAAGAGAAAACAGACACACACAGAUGCACACAUAGAUACACACAGAUACACACAGACACGGAUAUAUAGACACACACAGAUACACACACGUGGACACAGACACACACAUAGACACAGAUAUAUAGACACACACAGAUACACACACGUGGACACAAACACACACAGACAUACCCAUAGUUACGGAUAUAUGCAUGGAUACACAAUACACAGACACACAGAUGAUACAUGCAUAGACAGAUAUAUGGACACACACACACGGACACACAGAUACACACAUAGACACAUAGACAGACACAGAUACAGACACAGGCACAUGUAGACACACAUGGACAUACAAUACUCAGAUGAACACAGAGAUAAUAUACACAUAGACACAGAUCUAUAGAUACACAAAGACAUACACACAGAUAUACAUAGAUGCACACAUAGACACAGAUACACAUGUCAUCACACAUGGACACACACAGACACACACCAAUACACACAUAGACAUACGAAGACACAGGUACACAGACACGUAUACACACAGACACGCAUAUAUACAUACAGACGCAGAUAUACACACAGACACAGACAUACACACACACACAGACACAGAUAUACACAGAUACAUGGACAGAUACACAUUCACAUACACACAUAGAUACACAGAAACACACAGACACACAGACACAUAGAGACACACACACAGCCACACAGGCCCUGAGCCUCCCUGGGCCCUCCCUUGUGCAGAGGCGGAGGGGCUGGCUGUCGGGGAGGGCACCUGGAGAGGACACACAGCCCCAUCAGAGACCAGGGAGUGGCUCUGGGAGCUCUUUUCGUCCAAAGGGGCUGGAGCUCCAGUUAGCCAAGGUGAGGGCGUGGAGGAUUCCUGGGGGAAGCUUCGUGCUGCAAGGUGGAAAAGACAGAUAACAAGAGAAAAACAGAAGCUUAAUAGCAUGUAUACCUUGGUCUGCAAGGGACGGACUCGGGACAGGCUAUGUCGCAAAGGCGUGGCUUGGAGCUCAGCCUUAAAGACCAUGUUCGACGGAAACAAAGAGAAAGAGUGUGUGGGGAGGGGCCCAAGAAAUUACCCCAAACUGGGGUCAGGCCUUCUCCAUGGAUGAGCGUCUCCGGUGACUUACAGGCGGCCUUCUGGCCCAGAGAGGGGGCACCCUGGUGAGCGCAGAUGCCUGUACGGAUGUGACUUUCUCUCAUAGAACAGCAGCUUCCACUCUUGUUUUCAGAAUUUCUCCUGUGGUUGCAGUUUCUCAAAAUAAGCAGCUCAAAAUAAUGCUUAUGCCAAAGAGGCAUAUUUUGGGGUGGCAUAUUCUGGUCUGCUCUACGUGGAAGCGGACAGAAAAAUGGGGCAGAGGCCAGGGAGGGGAGCGGGACCGACUUCCAGUUCCCAGACCCGAGCAAGGGAACCUGAGGCCGAGCUCUGGAGCUUGGGGUCUGGAAGGGGUUCUCUGAGGACACUCUGGGAGUGGGGGAACAGCUGCCUCCUCAGGUUUCCCCCAAGGGAUCCUGCCUGGGGAGACCUGGACUGGGCAAGGCUUGGCAGCUGCCCUGCCAGGAGGAGGGAGACGGCUGCAGUGGGGGGGUGCAGGGUCGCUGGGGUCCCACCCGGGGGUGCUGGGACCGGCCAGAGGACACUGCGAUUUCCCAAUGGGCCAGGAAGGAAGGAGGCGCUUUCCAGGCAGAGCAUGACCCCGCACAGGAGGCAGAGACAGAGUCUCUGAGUGUCCCCGUCAGGUCCCUGGGACUGUGGCAGGGGAAGAAGCCGCAGUACCUCCUGCCCUUUAGGACAGGAGAGGUUGUCGUCCCAGCGUUGCCCAGCAGCUGGUUGGAGCCCAGGGCUCCUCAGAUGAGCCAGCGCCUGAGCCCUGAGCUGCCAGCUGGCCUGGCUGGAGCCGCCACUGAUCUUCCCAGGAGAAAGAGGCCGCCGUGCGUAAGUAGCGAGGUAUAAGAGGACGUGUAGAGCCGUGUCGCUCGCGCAAGAAGGGGAAAGAAGGAAGCCUGUCUGCAUGGCUGCGCAGGGGAUAUUGGAACAGAACUGAAGGAACUCAUGCAACGCUUCUCUGUGAAGGGGGCACCGCGAUGUAUGGACAAGGGUGGGAAAGGGAUGCUGGGCCAUAAAGUUUGGGGUGCGUGAUGGUGUGGAGGAGAAAGCCCUCCUGGGAGCUGUGGCCAGGGAGUGUGCAGUCCACGAGCAGAUGGAGCUUUAUGUGCCUCCCACCUCCUCCCAGGGGCCCCCCACGACUCGCUGAGGCCCCAUCAGCAACAGGAUGACGGGUUUUCUUUCCCACACAGAUCGGGGACGUCCCAGCCUCCUGAGGUGGGGCAGAGGCGGGCACCGCAGCCCAAGAGCUGGCUUUCCCCCUGCACCUCCACCCAUGCGUUGGCCUGGAGUGGCCCAGCGGAGGGUCCAGGUGGGGGUGCUGGAGGGGCCCACCCAGCUCAGGCCUGGCACCUGCACCUUUCUGGAUCCCACGAUGUUUUGCUGAGGGUUACUCAUCCAAGACCUGCCCGGAGGCUCCGAGCUGUUUACCACAGGCCAGCUCUGGCCGUAGCCUAUUCUGGGAGCCUGGGGGUGCUGGGAGGAGGCUGGGGCUCUGGGUGGCAGGAGGAGGAGAGCCGUCUUGUCCUUACUGAGCGUCCAGCGGGCGCCAGAUGCUGCGCCGCGUGCAAUUCUAAUCCUGGCCGGCAAAGCCAGAACGGGACAAUAUUCCUUCCUCCCCAGGCCUCCCGCUUGGCUGUGGGUGCUGACGGGCAAUGGGCCUGGCUAUCGGGGCUCACAGGGGAGCCGGGAGAGCCGCUAGCAGGAGAAAAUGUGAGCUCUGCAUCUGCUGGGCUGGGUUCGGGGGACGCGGGGUGGCUGGGGAGGGUCGUGCUCGUCCCUCCGGCUGCUGUCGCUGGCCCGCCGGCCAGUCCGCCCCAACGCUGGACUCCUGGGCUAUCCGUUCCCCACCCACCGUCUGAGGGUCUUUGAAAAUAGAACUCAUUCGUUUUCAUUAAAAGCAACCGAUCAAGAAGCCGAAAACACAAGAAUAAAACAAUGUAAAAGCUUGACUUUAUUUUGUAUCCGUCAAACACAGGACUCACAGUCCGUUACACAUGGAGCAUUCGCAACACUGAUCAUGUUCUGAUGGUCACACAAUGUCGGGAAAUUCCAAAAGGCAGAUAAUCUAGAGUCUGUUCACGGCAUCCACACACACACACCGGUGCACAGGCACACGAGCACACAGUCUACAGAUUGUUCGUAGACACAGUGUGGUAUAAUGAACAAAAGCUGGCUUUAAAAAUAGUUCUACCUGGGCCCGGUGCGGUGGCUCACGCCUGUAAUCCCAGCGCUUUGGGAGGCCGAGGCGGGUGGAUCACCAGAGGUCAGGAGUUCGAGACCAG